AUCCAUAUAAUAUAGGAACGAAAAAAAAUAAGGGAUGGAUGCAGAUCAGGUCGGAUCGGGUCGGAUUGGGUCAUUUAUCUCAAGACCCAAAUCAACCUAAAAAUCUCCACAGAUCAGAUCAGAUCAGAUCAAAAUUCAGUAAAUUCAAAUUCGAUUUAAAAAAUAGAACAGAUCCAAUUUUAGAACCCGAUCAGGAUCCACGGAUCCUUCAAAGUGAUUCGGAUCGGGUUUAUGCAGGUCGGAUCGGGUUUAUGCAGGUU
Molecule: long non-coding RNA, 260 nt
Filed under: Elaeis guineensis (African oil palm)
Lineage: Eukaryota; Viridiplantae; Streptophyta; Magnoliopsida; Arecales; Arecaceae
Description: long non-coding RNA (EGUI_LNC024260)
Source: RNAcentral